This 253-nucleotide ribosomal RNA is filed under the name uncultured bacterium. Its description in RNAcentral is "partial 16S ribosomal RNA". It matches the Rfam family "Bacterial small subunit ribosomal RNA", at positions 524 to 776 of the family's 1533-position model. The record is from RNAcentral.
UACAGAGGUCUCAAGCGUUGUUCGGAUUCAUUGGGCGUAAAGCGUGUGUAGGCGGAUCGUUAAGUGUCUUGUGAAAUCCCACGGCUCACCCGUGGAACGGCUGGGCAUACUGGCGAUCUUGGGCCAACUAGGGGCAACUGGAACAAGCGGUGGAGCGGUGAAAUGCGUAGAUAUCGCUUGGAACGCCAAAGGUGAAAACAGGUUGCUGGGGUUGUGCCGACGCUGAGACACGAAAGCCAGGGGAGCAAACGGG